GGCUGAAAUUACGCCUUCAUGAAGCCGGAAUUGCUAGUAAUGGCAGGUCAGCAUACUACGGUGAAUACGUUCCCGGGCCUUGUACACACCGCCCGUCAAACCAUGAGAGUCGGAAAUGCCCGAAGUCUGUGACCCAACCAUUAAGGAGGGAGCAGCCGAAGGCAGGUCGGAUGACUGGGGUGAAGUCGUAACAAGGUAUC
RNAcentral lists this ribosomal RNA (200 nucleotides) under uncultured bacterium. Its description in RNAcentral is "partial 16S ribosomal RNA". It matches the Rfam family "Bacterial small subunit ribosomal RNA", at positions 1303 to 1500 of the family's 1533-position model. The record is from RNAcentral.